AUUGUUUUGGUAUGAAAUUGUUGUUUUUCAUAUUAUUAAGGAAAUUCAAUCGUUGCAAAGGUAUUUAUUUUGAGAUCGUUUUUUCCCGUUACUUUUGUAAGCUCAAACAGUUAGAGUCGUAUUUUCUUUGGAUUUUUCUUUCUGAAGAUACCGUAGCAAUUUCUUUCACGGUGGUUUUAGUACGGCAUGUUCAGUUGUCACUCACUUUCAUUUCAACACGUUGACAGGAAGGAAUUGUCAGCUCGUCAUCAUUUGCUCAUUUUCGGCAUGUUAAUUUGUGUCCCGCCACAGAAGUAAGUUCUUUGGAUUAAUGAUAUAAUUAUGUAAAUAAUGUGUUGAUGAUGUGAUUAUGUAAAACAAGAAGGAAAAGGAAAGUUAUAAACAAAAGUCAAAGUUCUUGGUAAAUAAUGUACACGUGAAAAUAGGUUGAAGUCAGGAGCACAAUUUUUGUGUAAAGGAAUUUAAGGUAAUGUGUCAGUGAGUGAGUUGUUAGUGAUUUAGUUAAAGAUAUGAAGGUGAUUUGAAAAUUGGUUUUUGAUAACAAGCAAUAUUGUCUGCUACACUCAUACACUUAGGCAAUUUAGAGGAUAUGGGUUAUUCAUUAAUCAGGCAUUUGUAGAUUCUUUUCUAUGUAUAUAAUUAUAAGGAAAACAUAAAUAAGAACCAGGUCACAAAAGGAAUUGUACAUUUCAAACCAUUUAUUAAGAACAUGUCAGACUCAGAGUAUGAACAAGAUAACUCAAAAUAUGUUAUUUUUUGUGCAUUAUCUUUACAGAUUGAAUAAAUACCUACACCAGUAGGAACUAUACAUUCUAACGGGCACAUCUCGGCUUGUUCACUGAUCCAAACAUAAUUCAAUUUCUCACGAAACUCCGGGAUUGGAAUCAGACGGACAAGAUGGCUGAAACUGCAGGCGAGCUGAAAGUUAAGAGGAGAACGGCAAAAGGGAAGCUCACAAGGGGUAUGAACCAACUACAGGCCCUUUUGAACACUGAAAGAUCCAUCAAGGAGGUAGAUGAGAGCUAUCACGAAUUCCGCAAACUGUAUGAAAAUGUGGAGGCAAAGCAUGAUGCCUAUUCUGAGGUUCUCGAUGACACCGCGUAUGAAGCAGAGCAGGCGUGGAUGGAGGAGUGCAUGAAUAGCUUCAUACAGAUGAAGUUGAAGGUUGUGGACUAUGUAGGCAAUAGUACCGGCGCGGAUGACACGGUUGACACCACAAGAGAGGUUGAAAGCCCAAGGUCAGAAGUGAGAAACACAACAACAUGUCAUGUACAGAUAGAGAAACCAAAGUUGCCACGUUUCUCAGGAGACAUCAGAGAGUACCAGACCUUCAAAUCGGACUUUAAACAUCUUAUCGAGUCCAAAUACUCGGAGAGGGACUGUAUAACCAUUCUGCGUACUAGUUUACAAGGCAAAGCACUUGAAGUGAUUCAAGGCAUAGGAACAGACUACAACGCAGCUUGGGAGCAACUAAAUGUCAUCUACGGUGAUCAGAGGAAUGUCGCAGAUGCUGUCAUCUACGACAUCACAAAGUUCAAGAACUUGAAAGACGGCGAUGAUAAAGGGUUCAUUGAACUAGCAGGGUUAGUGAGGAGGAGCUACAACACUCUGAAGGAAAUCAACAAGGAGGAGGACAUGAACAAUUCUCACAUGUUGUCAUUGAUAGAGCGAAAGCUUACGAAUGAAGAUCGUAAGAUCUGGUUACGUCAACAGAAGUCACCAACUUUGAAGUGCUUAAUGGAAUGGUUGAGCCAGGAGUUGCAAACUCGUAUCAGGGCAACUGCAUCGAUUCGAGAAGGAAGGUCAGAUAGCAAGCCAAGGCAGGGUGCCUUCAUACACCAUCUGACACAGGAGGACAAAGGAAAUGAAGGUCGCAAACCAGACUUUAAGUGUUGGCUCUGUAAAUCCAAUGAUCAUUGGGUCGAUAAGUGUCAGAAGGUCGUUAAGAUGAGCCAGCAGGAGAGGUACGAGUUGAUGAAGGAAAACAGGGCUUGUUUUAGCUGUCUGAAACGGGCUGGCAAGGAACAUCGGAUGACUACAUGUCGGAGAAGAAAGAAGUGUGAUCGAUGUUCUUCCUUUCACCAUCCUUUGUUACAUUCAACCAUAAAGAUCCAGGAAUCUACUGUGGAUGUUGCAAGCACCGGAUCGAGUGAAACUCUUCUGCCAAUUCUUACAGUCAAGGUUCGUGGUCCAAAGGGAGCGGUCAUUGGCAACUGUUUACUGGACUCGGGUUCUCAGGUGACACUCAUCAGGAAGGGAGUAGCAGAGAAGCUCAACCUGGAGGGUGAUCCGGUUCAAAUAGUGAUCACAAAGAUCGGCGGAGAUAGAGAGACUACUAAUUCUAAGUGGUAUCGGGUGAAGGUAGAGUCUUUGGACAAUCAUCGAGUUGUUAAUGUGAAAGCUAUUGGACUAGAUGUGAUCAACGACAACAUCAGAAGUGUUGAAGUUCGGGAGCUUGCAAGGAUUUUCGAUCUUGAUAAGCUCAACAGAGGAGACGGGUCAGUUGAUCUACUCAUCGGUGCUGAUUAUGCAAGACUACAUCUUGGUGAAGUCAAGUCAAGAGAAAGAGGACAUCUAGUGGCUACGCGAACUCCACUAGGUUGGGUGGUAUUUGGCGGCAAGCCAGGACAGAGCAGUGGAAGUGUACUUAAUGUACAGGUGGUUGGAAAUCCUAUUGACCUGCAGGAUUUCUGGACGACGGAGUCCAUGGGUGUGGCAUGUCCAGCUAUGGAGACAGAUGAACAGAAGUUAAUCACCAAGGCCUGUCAGAAGAAAGGACAGCAGUGGCUGGUACCGUACCCAUGGUUGAAAGAUCCUAGAGAACUUCCAGACAAUAAGGUUCUAGUGGAGAAAAUGCUCUGUGCUACUGAGAAAAGGCUGAUGAAGGAUGCAGAGCAUGCAAAGGCCUAUGACCAUCAAAUCAAGGAGAUGGUUCAGAUGGAUUUUGCUAGGAAGCUAACGGCUGAGGAGAUGGAGUCGUACAACGGUCCUGUGCAUUACAUCCCUCAUCACGCCGUAUUGAGACCAGAGAAAAAGAGCACACCGAUACGAAUUGUCUUCAACUCUUCAUCAGUGUACCAAGGCAAGUGUCUCAAUGAUUUCUGGAUGAAGGGGCCUGACCUGUUGAACAAUUUGUUUGGAGUCAUCAUACGAUUUCGGGAGAAGCCAGUAGCAGUCUGUGCGGACAUCUCCAAAAUGUAUCAUAGGGUGCUGAUACCGGAAUCUGAUCAACACGUACACAGAUUCUUGUGGAGAGACUUGCAAGUUGAUAGAAAGCCUGAUACCUAUGUGAUGCAAGUUGUUACCUUCGGUGACAAACCGGCUUCAGCAAUGGCGCAGACAGCAUUGAGGCUCACUGCAGAAGAGGGACGCACUCAGUCCCCAGAGGCUGCAGAUGUGUUGAAGAGAGACUCAUACAUGGAUGAUAUCUGCACAUCUACAAAUACGAGAGAGGAAGCUCAAGCCUUAACUGAGAGCAUUGACAAUAUUCUCGCUAAUGGUGGGUUUAAGGUGAAAGGCUGGACUUCAAACACACAGCUAAAGGGAGCAGGAGGAGAUGAAAUGGAGAAAACUCUGAUGGAGAGUCUAGCAGAGGAAAAGGUGCUAGGAGUCUUCUGGGACAGAAAAAGGGAUGAGUUCUCUUACAGGGUGAAAGUUGAGAAGUUCUUGGAUAAGGAGCUAACCAAGAGAAUCAUCCUAGGCCAGGUUUCUCGAAUCUUUGAUCCUAUUGGCUACACAGCACCGUUUGUCAUCCGAGCAAAGAUAGGACUACAGAAGAUGUGGGAAGCUGGCUAUGACUGGGAUGCAGUUCUUCCAGAGGAAUGCCAGAUAGAGUGGAAGAGAUUCUUUCAAGAGAUGGAAGAGCUCAAGGAAGUAACGUUUGAGAGAUGUUUGACUCCGAAGGAUGUAGUUGGGAAGCCGCUACUAUGUAUCUUCAGUGAUGCAUCAAUGCACGCCUUCGGAGCAUGUGCAUACCUGAGGUGGGAGACGGAGGAUGGAGACUACAAGACAAGAUUUGUGGCAGCGAAAUCACGAGUGGCACCACUGAAGCCACUGACGGUUCCGCGCCUUGAACUUCAGGCUGCAGUUCUUGCCAGCCGACUGUACAAGACGAUAGUAGAGCAGCUGACGAUGGAGAUAGAUGAUGUCAUCCUCUUUACAGACAGUAUGAUAGCCCUCUCAUGGGUGAGGUCUAAGGCAAGGAACUUCAAGACGUUCAUUGCUACUAGGGUAGGAGAGAUCCAGAGCAACACAGACCCCAGCAAAUGGCGACAUAUCUCAGGAGUAGACAACAUAGCAGAUGUGUUGUCAAGAGGACUGAAGGCAAGUGAACUGAAGGGGUCAUGGCAACACGGUUCAGACUUCCUACAACAGUCAAGAUCUGAUUGGCCUGAGGAAGUGAAGGUUCUUACGAAUCUACCUGACGUUGAGAAGGAGAGGCGUCAUGAGAAGACGGUUCUAGCUGUGGGUUUAAGUUGUGACCUAAUCGAUUAUGAGAGGUUCUCCAGCUGGAGGAAACUGGUCAGAGUCGCAACAUUGGUGUUAAAGUUUGUGAAGAAACUAAAGGCUAGACGGGGAAAUCAGGAGAAAGAGACCAGUAAAGGAAUGACUCCCGCAGAACUAGAGGAGGGAGAGAGGUACAUCAUCAGAGACGUACAGAAAGGCAUGGAAUCACGAAUCAAGAAGGGAGAACUGAAGUCCUUGAGUCCCUUCAUUGAUGACUAUAGAGUCAUUCGAGUAGGAGGCAGGAUAGAUAAAGCGAUGACAUCAUUCGAGCACAAGCAUUCUGCUCUUCUUCCGUAUGGACAUCAUGUUUCCAAGCUGAUUACUCGUCAUGUUCAUGAGAUGAGUCAUAGUGGAGUAGCUGCAACCAUGGCAAAGAUAAGGCUAAAGUACUGGAUUCUACGGGGCCAUAAACUUAUCAAAACGCUCAAGUACAGGUGUACUAAAUGCAGAGCUUUUCUGCAAAAAACUGAGACCCAAGAAAUGGCCCAGCUACCUAGGGAGAGAUUAGCUCCGAAUACACCACCGUUCCACUUCACAUCGUGCGAUUACUUCGGGCCACUAACCGUGCGAGUGGGACGCAACAAGACGUCGAAGCAUUACGGAGUCAUCUUUACCUGCUUGAACACAAGGGCCGUUCAUCUCGAGCUGGCAGUAGAUUGCAGUGCCAUGGAGUUUAUGCAGGUACUGCGGCGUUUUUUCGCUGUGAGAGGACAACCGGCCAGCAUCCUAAGCGACAACGGCACUCAGUUUGUCGGUACUGAACGGGAGUUAAGCAAGAUGACUGAGGGACUGUCCAACGAAGAACUUCAGGACUUUUGUGCUGAGAGAGGUACCGUAUGGAGAUUUACCACUCCGGGAGCACCACAUCAGAACGGCUGUGCGGAGGCUUUAGUCAAAAGCUGCAAACAUGCUUUGAAGAAGGCAAUUGGGGAGCAAGUGUUGGCACCAUUUGAGCUUUUAACUUGUCUGGCUGAGGUGGCGAAUCUGGUCAACCAGAGACCAAUUGGCAGGCUGUCGACCGAUCCAGAUGAUGGCGGAUACAUCUCACCGAAUGACAUGCUUCUAGGACGAGCAUCAGGGAACGUAGCGCAAGGUCCAUUCUUGGAAACGCGAAAUCCGAGGCACAGAGUAGAACUGGUUCAGCGCAUCGUAGAUUCAUUCUGGCAACGCUGGACGCGGGACGUAUUGCCACUGUUAACUCCUAGAAGAAAAUGGAAUGUGCAUCGACGUAAUGUACGCGUUGAUGAUAUCGUUAUGUUCGCAGACGCGAACUCUGUGCGUAGCAAGUGGACAAUUGCUCGCAUAAUCGAGGUGUUUCCGGGUGAUGACGGUAAAGUACGGAACGUGAAAGUAAAGACUAUGAACUCUGAGUACCGUCGCCCGAUCACGAAGAUUGCUGUAAUCUAUCCCGCAGAAGGUUACGAAGAUUAAGUUACACGAGAACUUUAAGUUUGAAACAUUGUAAACUUAAGAACAGAUUAAUCUUUGCAUUUUUUUUGGAUGUAAGAUUUUCUUCAUUUAUAUCAUGAGGACAAAUUCCCUCAUUGGGUGGGGAGGAUGUUUUGGUAUGAAAUUGUUGUUUUUCAUAUUAUUAAGGAAAUUCAAUCGUUGCAAAGGUAUUUAUUUUGAGAUCGUUUUUUCCCGUUACUUUUGUAAGCUCAAACAGUUAGAGUCGUAUUUUCUUUGGAUUUUUCUUUCUGAAGAUACCGUAGCAAUUUCUUUCACGGUGGUUUUAGUACGGCAUGUUCAGUUGUCACUCACUUUCAUUUCAACACGUUGACAGGAAGGAAUUGUCAGCUCGUCAUCAUUUGCUCAUUUUCGGCAUGUUAAUUUGUGUCCCGCCACAGAAAUUGAAUAAAUACCUACACCAGUAGGAACUAUACAUUCUAACGGGCACAUCUCGGCUUGUUCACUGAUCCAAACAGCCAUUGUU
This is an RNA transcript of Strongylocentrotus purpuratus (purple sea urchin), 6439 nucleotides long. RefSeq lists it as uncharacterized. NCBI's taxonomy places the organism in Eukaryota, Metazoa, Echinodermata, Echinoidea, Camarodonta, Strongylocentrotidae. The transcript is spliced from 2 exons. The record is from RefSeq and is a predicted model, not a curated record.